Molecule: long non-coding RNA, 233 nt
Filed under: Brassica napus (rape)
Lineage: Eukaryota; Viridiplantae; Streptophyta; Magnoliopsida; Brassicales; Brassicaceae
Description: long non-coding RNA (BNAP_LNC023650)
Source: RNAcentral
GGUAGAGAAAAGAAUAAGAAUUAAUAACACUAAAUCUAAUGGCGAUAAAAGCUCCCCGGCAACGGCGCCAAAUUUGAUACCACUCAAAUUACCCUAAGGAGUGAAUUACUCUCUCAAAUAAGUGGUUCAGUUGCAGUACUUAUGGAUCAAAUCCACAAGGAGUUAGGGAACCUAUUAAAUCUAGUCAAAUUAUUAAUUCUACGUGUUUGUUGUUUUAUGGUUUAAAAGUAAAU